AUACGGAGGAUGCAAGCGUUAUCCGGAUUUAUUGGGUUUAAAGGGUGCGUAGGCGGUUUGCUAAGCGGGAGGUGAAAUGCCGGCGCUCAACGUCGGAAGUGCCUCCCGAACUGGUGGACUUGAAUGACUCUGCCGUAGGCGGAAUGUGGUUUGGAGCGGUGAAAUGCAUAGAUAUACCACAGAACACCGAUUGCGAAGGCAGCUUACUAAACUGUAACUGACGCUGAGGCACGAAAGCGUGGGUAUCAAACAGGAUUAGAUACCCUGGUAGUCCACGCUGUAAACGAUGAUUACUGGUUGUUUGCGAUACAUUGCAAGUGACUGAGCGAAAGCAUUAAGUAAUCCACCUGGGGAGUACGUCGGCAACGAUGAAACUCAAAUGAAUUGACGGGG
This 393-nucleotide ribosomal RNA is filed under the name uncultured bacterium. RNAcentral's name for it is "partial 16S ribosomal RNA". It matches the Rfam family "Bacterial small subunit ribosomal RNA", at positions 523 to 918 of the family's 1533-position model. The record is from RNAcentral.